CCCGCCGUAGUUCAGUGGUAGAACGCCUGGCUCUUCAUCCAGGUGGACGCCGGUUCGAGCCCGGUCGGCGGUGCCA
Molecule: transfer RNA, 76 nt
Filed under: Nonomuraea muscovyensis
Lineage: Bacteria; Bacillati; Actinomycetota; Actinomycetes; Streptosporangiales; Streptosporangiaceae
Description: tRNA-Lys
Rfam family: tRNA
About the family: Transfer RNA (tRNA) molecules are approximately 80 nucleotides in length. Their secondary structure includes four short double-helical elements and three loops (D, anti-codon, and T loops).
Source: RNAcentral